CUCCUACGGGAGGCAGCAGUAGGGAAUCUUCCGCAAUGGACGAAAGUCUGACGGAGCAACGCCGCGUGAGUGAAGAAGGUUUUCGGAUCGUAAAACUCUGUUGUUAAAGAAGAACAAGGAUGAGAGUAACUGCUCAUCCCCUGACGGUAUUUAACCAGAAAGCCACGGCUAACUACGUGCCAGCAGCCGCGGUAAUA
RNAcentral lists this ribosomal RNA (197 nucleotides) under uncultured Carnobacterium sp. RNAcentral describes it as "partial 16S ribosomal RNA". It matches the Rfam family "Bacterial small subunit ribosomal RNA", at positions 336 to 525 of the family's 1533-position model. The record is from RNAcentral. Lineage: Bacteria; Bacillati; Bacillota; Bacilli; Lactobacillales; Carnobacteriaceae.